AAUAAUAGUUGAUCGCUGCAUAUCACUAUAUGUAGAGGAAAGUCCAUGCUAGCAUUAUCUGAGAUGAUAAUAAUGUUUGUGCAGGUAUAUAAAAAAUAAAACCUGGUACAUACUUUAAGUAUGUAACGACAUUUUAUAAACCUAAGUCUUUUGAUAAGGUUUGUGAAUCUAAAGUGCCACAGAGACGAGUUGUAAUGAAAGUUACAAUGUGAAACGCGGUAAACUCCUCAAGCUAGAAACCUAAAUUUUGGUAAGGGAACUUUUUAAUAAGAAAUGAAUUAUUAAAAGGAUGUUGAAAAACAUAGAUAAAUGAUCAACGCUCCUAUGAGUACAGAACAUGGCUUAUUUU
Molecule: RNase P RNA, 349 nt
Filed under: Malacoplasma iowae
Lineage: Bacteria; Bacillati; Mycoplasmatota; Mycoplasmoidales; Mycoplasmoidaceae
Also listed under: 1 other name
Description: RNase P RNA component class B
Rfam family: Bacterial RNase P class B
About the family: Ribonuclease P (RNase P) is a ubiquitous endoribonuclease, found in archaea, bacteria and eukarya as well as chloroplasts and mitochondria. Its best characterised activity is the generation of mature 5'-ends of tRNAs by cleaving the 5'-leader elements of precursor-tRNAs.
Source: RNAcentral